CCUACGGGAGGCAGCAGUGGGGAAUCUUGCGCAAUGGGCGAAAGCCUGACGCAGCGACGCCGCGUGAGCGAUGAAGGCCUUCGGGUUGUAAAGCUCUGUGGGGAGAGAAGAAUAAGGAUACGCUAACACCGUACUCGAUGACGGUAUCUCCUUAGCAAGCACCGGCUAACUCUGUGCCAGCAGCCGCGGUAAU
Molecule: ribosomal RNA, 193 nt
Filed under: uncultured bacterium
Lineage: Bacteria
Description: partial 16S ribosomal RNA
Rfam family: Bacterial small subunit ribosomal RNA
Source: RNAcentral